This is a small nuclear RNA of Monomorium pharaonis (pharaoh ant), 113 nucleotides long. Lineage: Eukaryota; Metazoa; Arthropoda; Insecta; Hymenoptera; Formicidae. The record is from RefSeq and is a predicted model, not a curated record.
GUACUUGCUUCGGCAGUAUACUAAACGAUAAUUGAAAACGAUACAGAGAAGAUUAGUAUGUAUGACCCCUGCGAAAGGAUGACACACAAAAUCGUGAAGCGUUCCACAUUUUU